AAAAAAAUCUAAAUGACAUGUCUUGCUUUUAAAAUAUUCUUAAAAAUAACACAGAUUUUCACGAGAAAAUAGAGAAAAGGUUUGGGCGAAAAGCUCCUGCUUUUGGUAACUGAGUCAGCCACCACAUUCGCCUCUCACAUCAUCAAUCUCCAGGGCCUGUUAGAUUUUCAGUGCAACUGCUGAGUAGAACCCCAUCAAAACUAUUAGUUACCACCACAACCCCAUACUUGGGGAAUAACAGAGUCAGAUAUCUCCUCAAGCUUUGUUUCAUCAACUAACAGCAUCUCCUUCAUUCUAAAGCUGCAAGCUUUUCUAUCACUUGCUCAACUUAACUCUUAGCAUUUCUUGUAACCACCUCUCUCCUCUUUUCAAGCUCCCCAUCUCACGUGAACCACUUUUUAGCCUUUCUACAUCUAUGAAUUGUGUGAUGUGUUUUCCAGUUCAAUGCUUGAUAGAUUUUUCUGGAUGCUUCAUUUUUCUUUUGUGAUCUCUUAUGGUGUUUUUUUCCAGUCAGAAGUAUCUAAAAUAACAAGCUGCCUUCUUGUUUCAAUUGAUACUACUAUACUAGCUCUCAAAUGACAUCCUCCUUCAAACCUAAGCGCUUACCUAAUUAAAUUCAAAUGAAUGAAUCAUAUUUCUUCUCCUUUUUAUUGUUACAAUUAAACAAUCUCUUUUGGUUGCAAUAAAACUUUGUUCUCUAUUAUUAAUUAGCUUCACAAUCUUUUAGUUCCACUAAAGAAAAGAAAUCUUAGAUUUAAAAAUUAAAUUCAAAUAAAUGAAUCCUAGACUCAAAAUCGGAAUAUUUUAUUUUUCAAAAUUCUUUUUAUUUCUAAGCCAUAUUAGAUUUUAUUAAAAACAUUUAAAACAUGAAUGAUGCAGAGAAUCACAUGUCCAUAAUCUUCCUACCCAAUGAAAAAAAUAAUGCAGUAUCAAGUAUACUACCACCAUGCCGAGAAAAAAAUUUUCGUAUAGAAUUGAAUUAUAAAUAUUUGAGGAUUAAAGUGCAAUUUGACCAUUCUAAUGACUUAAGAUUUUUCAUACUUCAAAAGGUCUAAAAAUAAGUUUUCCAUUUUUAUUAUUAAUAAGUGAGAAUUCAAGUUGUCCAUAAUUUGAAACAGAGCAUAUGUAACACCUUAAAUCCGACCUAGACUUUAUGACUGAAUCUGGAAUUGUUACAAAAAAAGAAGUUAUAAAUCUGACUUUUUCUUUAUAAAAGCAUCACAUAUCUUUGCUACUUAAGCGUCCACAUUAUUUAAAAAUGUGUUGCUAUAUUUAGUAGUUAAAUUGUCAGUUGUUUUUAUUUUCAAAUAAACCAAAUAAUUUGUAGUGAAAGUUCUUAAAUUGUUAUAUCUUGAAAACUCGGGAUGUUUUCUCGAAAACGGUUGAUUACUGAAAAACAAUUGUUUUCGUAAAUCGUUUUAUCAAACGUCAUGCUUAGAAAUUCCAAAUUAAAAUCCAAAACCAAAAUAAAAACUCAAAAGUCUAGAGAGUCCAAAAAUUACAAACUCUCAAAACGAAAAUUUACAUAAACAAAUUUAUGUAAAUAGAGUUUUACAAAAAAAUGGUCACAUCCGAGCUCCCGUCGCAUCAACCCGCCUAAGCCUGAGGGUUACCUGAAAGUAAC
This 1624-nucleotide long non-coding RNA is filed under the name Gossypium barbadense (sea-island cotton). RNAcentral's name for it is "long non-coding RNA (GBAR_LNC021109)". The record is from RNAcentral. Lineage: Eukaryota; Viridiplantae; Streptophyta; Magnoliopsida; Malvales; Malvaceae.